UACGUAUGGAGCAAGCGUUAUCCGGAUUUACUGGGUGUAAAGGGAGCGCAGACGGCAGGGCAAGUCUGAUGUGAAAGUCCGGGGCUCAACCCCGGGACUGCAUUGGAAACUGUCUGGCUAGAGUGCAGGAGAGGUAAGUGGAAUUCCUAGUGUAGCGGUGAAAUGCGUAGAUAUUAGGAGGAACACCAGUGGCGAAGGCGGCUUACUGGACAGUGACUGACGUUGAGGCUCGAAAGCGUGGGGAGCAA
RNAcentral lists this ribosomal RNA (248 nucleotides) under uncultured Lachnospiraceae bacterium. Its description in RNAcentral is "partial 16S ribosomal RNA". It matches the Rfam family "Bacterial small subunit ribosomal RNA", at positions 524 to 771 of the family's 1533-position model. The record is from RNAcentral. Lineage: Bacteria; Bacillati; Bacillota; Clostridia; Lachnospirales; Lachnospiraceae.